This 460-nucleotide ribosomal RNA is filed under the name uncultured bacterium. Its description in RNAcentral is "partial 16S ribosomal RNA". It matches the Rfam family "Bacterial small subunit ribosomal RNA", at positions 338 to 795 of the family's 1533-position model. The record is from RNAcentral.
CCUACGGGUGGCUGCAGUGAGGAAUAUUGGUCAAUGGGCGCGAGCCUGAACCAGCCAAGCAGCGUGAAGGAUGACUGCCCUACGGGUUGUAAACUUCUUUUAUCAAGGAAUAAAGUGAGGCACGUGUGCCUUUUUGUAUGUACCUUAUGAAUAAGCAUCGGCUAACUCCGUGCCAGCAGCCGCGGUAAUACGGAGGAUCCGAGCGUUAUCCGGAUUUAUUGGGUUUAAAGGGAGCGUAGUUGGGUUGUUAAGUCAGUGGUGAAAGUGUGGGGCUCAACCGUAAACUUGCAAUUGAUACUGGCAGUCUUGAGUACAGUUGAGGUAGGCGGAAUGCGUGGUGUAGCGGUGAAAUGCUUAGAUAUCACGAAGAACUCCGAUUGCGAAGGCAGCUUACUAAACUGCCACUGACAUUGAUGCUCGAAAGUGUGGGUAUCAAACAGGAUUAGAUACCCGGGUAGUC